AUUAAAAUAUUUUUUAUACUUUCUUUACUGACAGAUUAUAAAUUGAUUUUUAUCUCCAUAAUUUAUUCUUUAUUCAGAUUAAAGGGGCUGCAGUUUGUCAGCGAUCAGCUGUGCCUCUCUGGUCUCAUCUCUGAAGUCCAACCCCUCCCAUCUGAAAGAGCUGGAGCUGUAUAAGAAUAACCUGCAGGAUUCAGAUGUGAAGCUGCUGUCUGAUCUUGUGGAGAGUCCAGACUGUAGACUUCAGACUGUGAGAUGGAAGUGAUCUUGAGUAUGAGUGGUGAGAAAGGUGGUUUUGUUGAGAGGAUCACACAUCAUUGAAAGAGGAAUCACAACCAGUGAAGACGACUCUUAGUCUCUGUGCUAAGCUAACUGACGCCUUACUUUAGCUCUAUAUUUGGCAUACAGAUAUUAAUCUUCUCAGAAACUCGUAAAACAAUUUCUUUAAUAAAAAAAAUAUGUGUAUGUAUGUAGAAAUAUAUUGUGACUGAAGGUUCCAAGUUUAAGUUGAGCUUAAUCAGCAGAUAAAUGGCAGUUUUGUCAUCACUGAACGACAGUUUAAAGUGACCAAAACCUUUUCUGAAAUAGUAAAAUAUAACAUAGAGUCAUAAAGUCAGGAAACUGAGGGGCCGUCCACAUUCGGAACAAUAACUGUCAGUGAUGACCUGUUUGUUGCACAUAGAAAAAAAAAGAAAACCAGAAGGAGAAAAGGGGAGAAUCUAACACAGUUACGAGAGUUGCCGCCUUUUGAAGACUAACUUUACUUAUACUAUCAGAGGACUUCAGAGAGCCCAUCAUCACUUUAUGUGUAAUUUACAGCCUGAUAUGUUAUUUAUGUGUUUAAUACAUCAAAUCACUCUGAAAGUGAUCCAGAGGUGGUACACACAUCCCUUACUCGAGUUCAAGGACAGAUACUACUCUGAAAUGUAAUCAAAUUAUAAAAGUAAAAAGUACUCUCUCUGCUGUUUCUGUAUGAAACCAACUGGAACUUCAGAUACAGUCUUGUCUCCCUCUCUGAAAAUACUCAAGUACAAGUCAGAUUUAAGAAGUAAUUUAUCAUUACUCACAGAAGAAUCACAGCAGCAGCCUGCACAUGCUUUUGCUGCUGCAGCAAAAUGUCUAAAAUAAAACAGCCACUAAAACUGCA
Long non-coding RNA from Dicentrarchus labrax (European seabass), 1144 nucleotides. RefSeq lists it as uncharacterized. The record is from RefSeq and is a predicted model, not a curated record. The transcript has 2 exons. NCBI's taxonomy places the organism in Eukaryota, Metazoa, Chordata, Actinopteri, Moronidae.